This is a long non-coding RNA of Zonotrichia leucophrys gambelii, 1869 nucleotides long. RefSeq lists it as uncharacterized. NCBI's taxonomy places the organism in Eukaryota, Metazoa, Chordata, Aves, Passeriformes, Passerellidae. The transcript is spliced from 4 exons. The record is from RefSeq and is a predicted model, not a curated record.
GUCCAAGGUUCUCUUAGGACAGCUAAAGGGAGAGGCUCUACUUUUGAUGGCAGCUUUCAGGCGGGCAGUGCAGAACAGCUCUGGUUUGUGUCGUGGUUUCCGGUGUGCCGUGUUCCCUAGUGUGUCUUUGGGGUCCCUUUUGCCUUCUUCCCUCGAGGCCCUCACCACAAGCAUGAUGUGUGGUGUUUGAUGUCCCCCUGUUUGUCACGUUCUGUGUCACGGGUGUCUGCACACAUACGGGUGCCGGAGCUGUUCUGCCCUGCCGCAUGGCCAGCUGCAAUGGGACAAGCCCUGGGGAGUGUAAAUUUGUAAUGGGGGCUGUACUUGGGCUCUAGAUGCUAUUCCUAGAUGGACCUAAGGUGUUUGCAGCUUGUGAGUUAUCCUGGUGGUGUUUGACACAUGUUCUAACUUUCUUUCAGGUGCAGAUGCAUUGCAUCCAUGGCAGAGGGUCAGAGUUAGCAGGUGCCGGGCCUUCCUAGGAGCAGGCUGUCUGAGAGACACCAGCCCGGUGACAGCAGGACCUUCCCAGCUGACGAGGUGGCCUUUCUUUGCACCUGGCACGGACCGGCAUCGCCAGAUGUCUGAGAGAUAAGUAGAGGGCUAUGACCCACAGAGGGGAUGAAGGCAGGGUGCUGGUUUGGGAAUUACUGGGAGGGGUUUUUGAGUCCAAUUUGGAGGUGGGGGGUGUCCAUGAAGUGGCCCCUUAGGCCCCAUGAAAGCCAAGUCUCACCUUUGAUCUCAGUGCUGAGGUGUUCAGGGCAGAGCAGUCCCGGUGUGUCUGGUGUCACUUGUCUGCUGUGCAUUAUGUGUUGUUUGUGUAUCUCCUGUCUUUUACCUUAGCCCUUUAAGGGGAUUGUCAGAAACCUUGGCAUCAUUGUUAGCAUCUGUGAUCUCUGCAUUCCUUGGCCUGGCACCCAGGCUAUAGAACUUUUGACUCGGGAGCUCAGGCAGGCAUCAGACUCUCUUAUCUAUUUAGAAGCAUCCAGUCAGAUGUCUUGUCAGGUCUUGUUCUGAGCUGUACGGACAGCUGUGCCCCACCUGGAUCCAUUAUGGUGGAUUAGGGCUUGAAAGAAUGUGAGGGCAGGCAGAGGAUUCUGACCAUAGGAUUCCUAGGCAUCCAUCUUUACUGUUCUUGGAAUCAAUCAUUCAGUUAGCAUCUUCUUCCUGCAGUGUUCUCUGAGCCUCAUCAGCUCACCGUCAGUUUGAACUCAGUCAUCUCCUUUUGCAUGCUCUCAGUCCUUGCAGCCAUUUUCCUUGCCAAGAGAUUUCUGUUCCUGUUGUGUCCCCGUUGUGUGUCCUGUCCUGUCUGUCCUGUGUCACGGGUGUCAGCACACAUUUGUGCCGGGGCUGCUCUGCCCUGCCGCAUAGCCUGGUGCGAUAGGAGAGGGCCCGGGGACUUGGAAUGUGUAAUGUGGGGUGUAGUUGGCCUCUAGAUGGGAUUUGUAGAUGGACACAGGACAUCUGGAGCUCUUCAGUUGUCCUGCAACAGUGUGACUCUUGUCCUAACGUUUUUUUCAGAUUCAGAUGAAUUAAAUCUGGGCCAGAGGGCCCCAUCCCGUGUGAGGGGAUUCCCCCGAGCAGGAAGUGAAUCUGGAUAGCAGCAGUCAAGGUGAGCCGUGGAGAGAAGUGGUUGUUAUUGCUCAGCUCUGAAGCACAUCAAUUUUUCAGCAGCUUGAUCAUGUCACAAGAGGGAUCUGCCCAGUGUCAAGGAUGAUGUUUGAGAUUGAGGCUUCAGCCAGGUGCCAGCCCUAAUAAAGGCCACAGCCUUGGAAUCAGGAUGAAGCUGGAGCCUGAGGGAGCCAGGCACACUCAGGAGAGGGCAGGUAGGAAUGCUGUGCCCCAAGCAGGGGUGCUUUGGUUUCUGCUGAG